This is a long non-coding RNA of Triplophysa rosa, 479 nucleotides long. RefSeq lists it as uncharacterized. The transcript is spliced from 3 exons. The record is from RefSeq and is a predicted model, not a curated record. Lineage: Eukaryota; Metazoa; Chordata; Actinopteri; Cypriniformes; Nemacheilidae.
CACACACACACGCACACACGCACACACGCACACACACACGCUCACACGCGCACACGCACACACGCGCACACUCACGCGCGUGAGCGUAGAGAGAGAGAGCGAGCAGGUGUAUUUGACCUGAUCUUAAACAUGAUGUUCAUAUUUUUCACCUGAUGACAGAGAACAUUUGAGAAACAGCACAUGUAACGGACCGCAGGACCAAAGAGCAUCUUUCAGAAUGAAAUGCAGACCCACCCAGGGGACAACAAAGCGCCACCUCGUUUCACAUGAAAAGCCAGAUGCAUGUGAGGAUGUGUGUGACUAACCUCUGGAAACACAACUGUGUCUGCACAGACCUCACUUGUUAAUGGCAUAUUCAUAAGGUUGCUGUGGAUUACUGCUGUUUCACCUGCAGCUUAGAGAAAUAAAGCCACACAACCCAGCCUUCAUCUCGCUCAAUGUGUUUGUGCUAAUGACUUACACAUGUCUCCAUUAAGACU